UCCCUGGUGGCUCAGCAGAUAAAGCGUCUGCCUGCAAUGCAGGAGACCCAGGUUCAAUCCCUGGGUUGGGAA
Molecule: transfer RNA, 72 nt
Filed under: Ovis aries (sheep)
Lineage: Eukaryota; Metazoa; Chordata; Mammalia; Artiodactyla; Bovidae
Rfam family: tRNA
About the family: Transfer RNA (tRNA) molecules are approximately 80 nucleotides in length. Their secondary structure includes four short double-helical elements and three loops (D, anti-codon, and T loops). Further hydrogen bonds mediate the characteristic L-shaped molecular structure. tRNAs have two regions of fundamental functional importance: the anti-codon, which is responsible for specific mRNA codon recognition, and the 3' end, to which the tRNAs corresponding amino acid is attached (by aminoacyl-tRNA synthetases). tRNAs cope with the degeneracy of the genetic code in two manners: having more than one tRNA (with a specific anti-codon) for a particular amino acid; and 'wobble' base-pairing, i.e. permitting non-standard base-pairing at the 3rd anti-codon position.
Source: Rfam by way of RNAcentral